GACCCUCCCUCCCAGACCCUCCCACCUCCUGGACAGCUCACUAAGAAUGCAGCUUCACAAUGAAUGUAAAAUGGAUGCUGUCAGGGGGUGGGAGGGUCUGGGAGGGAGGGUC
Pelobates cultripes (western spadefoot toad) is the source of this 112-nucleotide non-coding RNA. NCBI's taxonomy places the organism in Eukaryota, Metazoa, Chordata, Amphibia, Anura, Pelobatidae. The record is from the annotation of a GenBank genome assembly.